This is a long non-coding RNA of Passer domesticus (house sparrow), 519 nucleotides long. RefSeq lists it as uncharacterized. The transcript has 4 exons. NCBI's taxonomy places the organism in Eukaryota, Metazoa, Chordata, Aves, Passeriformes, Passeridae. The record is from RefSeq and is a predicted model, not a curated record.
UGGCAUCAUCCUGGGUAACUGUGAGUCUGGCAUACACAGACAGUGUUGGUCCUUGGAUAAGGAGAGAGUACCUUUUGGCUGUGUGUAUGUGACACAGUUGGUAUCAGUUGGCCUGAGGCUCAGGAGACAGCUCCUUUUACUGGAUGGCAGAAAUAUAGGCUGUGUUCAGCGCUCCAGACUGAAGAUGGAACAGAGACAGCUACUAUCGUGCCAUGUUGUCAUCCUAGACCAGGACCCGGAGCACACAAAUGCACCUGAGCUGGUUCCUCCAACAGCUGUUUAAGAAUACAGACAGUAAAUAAAUGUCCUUGAAUUUGGCAUAGCGAACACUGAACUGGAGUCAGUGAGUCUGGCUGGAUUCAAGCUCAGUUGUUUCUGGUCCGUGUUGUCCAAGGAAUUUUAUAUCACCUGAAUUGUUGGAAAGGCACAUAAUUCAAGUUCAUCAGUGUUUUGGAUAAUGGAUAGUUAGCUUUAUUUUCCUUGAGAUACAUUAUAUUUUAGAAGGCAUGACUCACUCAU